This 538-nucleotide long non-coding RNA is filed under the name Homo sapiens (human). RNAcentral describes it as "KANSL1 antisense RNA 1 (KANSL1-AS1)". Lineage: Eukaryota; Metazoa; Chordata; Mammalia; Primates; Hominidae. The record is from RNAcentral.
GCCAGGAGGCGCGGCCGCCGCCGCCUCAGUCAUGGCUCCUCGCCGUGGCCGAUGUUUUUGUACCUCCAUCUGCGGAGGCCGCGGCGCCCGGCCCCAGCUGCCCCGGACGUGCGGCGACGGCACGCAGCACUGCGGCAGGGGGAAGCCAGCCCUCGCUGCGGCCGAGGAAUGGCCAUGAGAUGUGAGUAGAAGCCCCCUGGACAGCCUCCAAAAGAGAACUGUGAGAAAAGGUUCUUCAAUCCUAAAAAUGAUGGAGGAAAAAACAGUCCCUCUUCCUCAGACAGUGACACCUCAAACUGCUACAGUCACCUUUGCAGCAAGCCUGAAGAUGCCACCAACAUCAAAGGGAAUAGAGAGUUGGUCCUUGGUGAUAGCAUUAAGCCACUGUAUCAACCAAUCCUGACAAUUUGUAUGACUUCUGGAUUUCCAGCCACAUUACAACAAUGUAACAAUAAACAUUUAUUAAUUGCUUAAGCCAAUUUGAGUUAGGUUCCUUAUAUAAUAAAUGAAGUCAAAAAACAAAAAAAAAAAAAAAAAA